AAAGAGCUCGUAGGCGGUUGGUCACGUCGAAUGUGAAAACCCGAGGCUCAACCUCGGGCCUGCAUUCGAUACGGGCAGACUAGAGUUCGGUAGGGGAGACUGGAAUUCCUGGUGUAGCGGUGAAAUGCGCAGAUAUCAGGAGGAACACCGGUGGCGAAGGCGGGUCUCUGGGCCGAUACUGACGCUGAGGAGCGAAAGCGUGGGGAGCGAACAGG
This 215-nucleotide ribosomal RNA is filed under the name uncultured bacterium. RNAcentral describes it as "partial 16S ribosomal RNA". It matches the Rfam family "Bacterial small subunit ribosomal RNA", at positions 562 to 776 of the family's 1533-position model. The record is from RNAcentral.